Molecule: microRNA precursor, 84 nt
Filed under: Bombyx mori (domestic silkworm)
Lineage: Eukaryota; Metazoa; Arthropoda; Insecta; Lepidoptera; Bombycidae
Description: mir-2807 microRNA precursor family
Rfam family: mir-2807 microRNA precursor family
Source: Rfam by way of RNAcentral
UUAACUCAAAUUUUUAUGGAGUUGGAACGUUUGCCUAUGUUUGCCGCUAGGGGUGUUCCUACAACUGCAUACAAAUUUAAGUUA